AGUGAACGCUGGCGGUAGGCCUAACACAUGCAAGUCGAACGGCAGCACAGUAAGAGCUUGCUCGUACGGGUGGCGAUUGGCAACCGGUGGGGAAAUACAUCGGAAUCUACUUUCUCGUGGGGGAUAACGUCGGGAAACUUACGCUAAUACCGCAUACGACCUGCGGGUGAAAGCAGGGGUUCUUCGGACAUUGCGUUAUUGAGUGGGCUGGUGUCGGAGUCUCUCGUUGUCGGGGUAGAGGGCCACCAUGGCGACGCUCAGUAGCUGGUCUGAGCGGAUGGUCAGCGACACUGGUACGGAGACACGGUGCACACUCCUACUGGAGGCGGCAGUGGUGAAUAUUGGAGAAUGGGCGCAAGCCGGAUCCAGCCAUACCGCGUGGUUGAAGAUGGCCGUCGUGUUGUAGAGCCCUUUUGUCGGGAAAGAAAAGCAGCAGGUUAAUACCCCGCUGUUCUGACGGUACCCAAAGAAUAAGCACCGGCUAACUUCGUG
RNAcentral lists this ribosomal RNA (492 nucleotides) under uncultured bacterium. RNAcentral describes it as "partial 16S ribosomal RNA". It matches the Rfam family "Bacterial small subunit ribosomal RNA", at positions 29 to 507 of the family's 1533-position model. The record is from RNAcentral.